Zonotrichia albicollis (white-throated sparrow) is the source of this 2619-nucleotide non-coding RNA. Lineage: Eukaryota; Metazoa; Chordata; Aves; Passeriformes; Passerellidae. The record is from RefSeq and is a predicted model, not a curated record.
UGGCCCCUCUGCCCCCGGCAUCCCCAGCUCCCACCCUCCUGCAGCAAACUCCACUGGAGCAAACACUCGAGGCUCUUUUCAGGAGCUCCCAGAUUCCUGUCCAUGUUCGGCUUUCAUUUAAAGAGAGAGCUGCCCAUCAGAUCGCUGAAAGAUUGGAAAUGAACGUCACGGCUCUGAAAGCAAAGAAAAAAGAGCCACGAUUUCCCCAUCUCUCCAGAACGGAGAGAAAUCUCCUGCUUGAACCCGUGGAUGGGGUUCGGAGCCGUGCUGAGCACCGAGGCGUGCGGGCUCGGGGCUGCUCAUGCAGGAAAGCCAAAGCUGUCGCCUGCCUCAGCAAAGCUGUCAGGACUAUUUUAUUGCAUUCCAGCCCAUCAAAUAACCAUCACAACAGGUAUUCUCCCCCUCCUCACGGCAUAAAGAUGGUGAGGGAGCACUUCCCUCUGAAAGAAUCUGCACUGGCUGCUGUUCAUUAAUUAUUUGGGUGGUAUUAACAAAGGUGACACGGACAUGUCACCCAAAUGCCCUGCAAACUGCCCUCGGUGCUGUGAUUAUUCAUCUUUCCCUCAGCCCGAGCUCAGGAACUCAGAGACUUCGUGCUACAUCAUGUUCUGGAUCUCAGUGUUUUAUAUUCUGGAUCUCAGUGUUUUCAGAGGCUGAGGCUUGUUCAAAUGAGUCACUGCUGAGCUUCCUUCUUAUCUUUAAAGUUUGUUAUUACUUGGAAUUGUUUAUCUGCAUCACAUUUGCAAAAACAUCUGAACAAAGGCCAGCCCAUGGAAACAAGAGCAUUUUUGCACCUUUUUAUGUAAAUAGUUAGGAGUUUAUACAGCUGGUUCUUUUCUUUGCAAUUCACAAUAUUUGUCUCUAAUGCCAAUUUUAAGGAUCGCGAUGGGAUUUAAGCAAUCACACGCAGCCCUGGUGUCCUGGCAGAGAUAACAGCGCAGCUCCAUGGCAGGCUGAGCAAUCCAGCAGCUGACAGCCCCCCUUUGUGCCCGGCACGGCCCCGAGCUCCGGGGAUGCUGCCCCGGCUUGGGGACCCUGCCACAGCGUGACCUGGAGCGGCUCCAGGCUCGCGUGUUCCGAGCUGAGGCGGGGAUUUCACACUCACAGCCUCGGGGUUUCUCCAAGAUGCUGGAGGCACAGCGGCUGCCCAGGAGCCUGCGCUUGUUUGAGGUGUAAAAGCUGCGCCUCCCAGUGCAGAUGGAUUUUUAUAACAGUCAUUCUAAAAACUUCACGGAUCGGGUUUUAUUCCUGCUAAACCUCACGGCGCAGCACGGAUUGAUGGUUUAUGUUUGUGCCUCGCAGAUCUUACGGGUUUUCUCUGUUUCCUGGAGCUCAGCUGUUCCCCCGAGCGGUCCCACGUCCAUCAGCCGCAUAAAGAACCAGAUCCUUUUUAAAAUGUAGCAGAAAAUGUCUUUAUCCUGCGCUGAUGUCCUCGGGCGGGUUUCGAGCACUUACUGCCGAUAGCGCUGAAACAGGUAAAGACAUUUGGGCAGCUUUGGUCAAAAAAAGAGUUUUUCCUUUAGAUCCAGGGCGCGUUGGUUGGUGUUUAAAGCGCAGCGCUAGGAGAGGGCUCCGAGUCGUGGGAAGCGCAGAUCCCGCAGCACAAGCCGGGGGCUUGGCACCCUCUCCUGGUGCGCGCCCGGAGUGCUGCGGCAGCGACGGCAAAUCCUCAGCUCCCACAGCUGAAUGAAUGCACGGGCAAAGCCCCGGAACGCUGCGGUUCUGUCCUCAUGCAGCCUUUGGGCUCCACGGGGUGUGUCUGUGUCCUGCUUUUAGAAAUGCUGCUCGUCCUGGGACCUCGGGAAAUUUCUGAAGGGAUAAAAUCCCUUGUUUUACCCCUAUAUCCCUGGCUUAGAGAAAUACCCGACUGCUGUCAUGUGCUGCAUUGCUUCUUGUACUCCUUGAGGGAUCUAGAAAAGCAAAAGGUGGAGGAAAAAAGAACGGAGAAACAGAAGAUGGUGUUAAAAUAAAUUAUUAUUUUCCAAGUAUUUAUGAUGCCAUAGAAUGGCAAGAACUGUGGAUUGGAGGAAGGUCAUCUGAGGUGAGUCCCAGAGAGCGCUGGCGGUGCCAUCUGGGCAGGGUGGAGGUGCCAGCGAGCCCCUUUGCCUUCCCUGGUCCAGAACAAUUCCUGAGCGGCUCCAGCCCUGCAGGAGCAGCCACGGCAGGGCUGGGAAGAGCUCAGGACGUGGAGAGGGAGAUUUUCUGCUUUUGCUGCUCAGUGCUGCUUCAGAGCUCUGUCCAGCACACCUGCAGGUCACCAAGCAGCUCUUCCUGCUGGGAGUGAACCUUUUUUGUACCUUUUUACCCCAUUUUACACUUCAGACCUCCAGUUCUAACUCACCCACUGGGAGUCAGGCAGAGACUCUUCACCCCUUGCUUGAACAAACCUCCCUCCUGGGAAUGUGCCCCGUGGAAGGAAGCAGGGAGGAAUUGUAGUGUUCUAAUAAAAGCAGUUAAUUUUCACCUGGGACGUGGGAGAGUUCCCUGCUUUGAAAUGCUCAGCACAGGUACCAACCCUCCUGUUCCCAUGAGGUUCAUGGACUGAGGUCAGCCACAGCCAAACCUGCCAGGAAUUCUGUGUGUGCAUGCAGACACUUGUUUUCUCAUUUAAAAAAAAAA